AUAAAAGAGACAAGGUUGCCUACCCCUGAGAUUGUUGGAGAACAACUUGAAGCUUGCCAGAACAUUCCAACAUCCAUGGACACCAUGGUGAAGACCUCACUGCACAUUCAUCUGCAUAAGUCUGCUUGAAUCAAGUUGCAUAUCAGAAGACAGAAAUUCUACAAAUCCCAUGCAGGCAUUUGGAUUCUUCUCAGAAAUAUUACAUGAUUACUGGUUCUCUUUGCAUUGAUGCCAUUAUUUCUCUUGCUAUGAUAUCUCCAUGUGUGUACAAAAGGUUAUGCAUGUAAUAGCUUCUCAUUCAGAAAAAAAAUCGUCACAUAUGACAUGCUGUGAUUCUCUAAUGUGACAUUCCACUUUUUAUGCACUAAAUGAAAUUUGUUACUAUCCUAUUUGCAUUUGAUGUAAAGAACCAACAAUGCUGUGAUAGUCAGUCAACCAUACAUAGGUUUUUUUGUCGUUUACAUACUGGCUUUAUUAGCAAAAAUAAAUAAAUAAAUACAUUAGAGUAGGUGGUCUCUAAAUUGUCAAUCUUUGCCAUACGUAAACAUGUAUGUAUGUAUGUAUGUAUGUACGUACGUAUGCAUGUAUGUAUAUAUGUAUGUACACAUACCUUUUAGAUCCUUUCAGAGUGCUCAUUCACUUUUUGUAAAGCAUAGUGAACCAUCUUGCAUAGAUGGAAGUAAUAAAUUUAAUGGGAAUUACAUCUGACUAAAUUUGUAUAGAGCAAUUCAUUUUACCCAGUUUAGAAUCAUUUGUCAGAUCUAGCCUUCUGAUCAAAGUGAGAAUAUUCAGAAGUGUUAAGUAUUUGAUUAAAAAAGCCUAAUCUCAUUAAACUGUUCAUUAAAAUACUUGCCAGAGUAAAGCUACUGAAUGUUUUAAAACCCUUGCACAUAAUCGUUGGUUUCAGUGAUAACAUAAAAUGGAUGAUUUUAUAUUUGCUAUCUCCUUCUCCUGGGCAAGCUUAUGUAAUCGGAAUGAUCUGAAUGAGACACUCAAAAAAAAAAAAAAAUGUGACAGUGAAAUCUGCAUCUGCCAUCACCUGCAGUUCAGAACAGCACAAAUCACAAAUAUCCUAAGAAACAGAUCUGUAGUGCUCCAAACAUUUUUCCCAACAUCUUUAAAAUGUGAUCACUGAAAUAAGUGGUAACUCUAUUUUCAUAAUAGGAAGAUGUACUUGCCUCUGAGAGAUAAAUCUUUCUUUUUUUUCCUGCAGUCAUAAACAAUGUCUCUGUUUCUGUUUGGAUAUGAUGUGUAAACCAAAGGCAACCAUAUUAAUGGUUUGGGGUUAAGAUAAAGAUCGGAUCAUGACCAAGGGCUACAUCCUGAGAGCUGUGAAGGGCUAGCAACAUGAUUGCCAAUGUCCGAUAAUGGAUAUGGCACAAGAAGAAGAAGAAGAAGAAAUUUUUGCAAAAACAUUGCAAAAGGCAGGACUAACAGCUCAUUAGUGCUGAAAGGUUCUGAAGUAUAUACAAGUAAAAGGAAAAAAAAAAGAAUUUCCACAAAGGCAGAUUUCUGAAGCAGUUCUGUCAAUAAAUAAAUCUGUUUCAUUCUGAUAUAGUUACCUAGAUUAAAAAAAAAAAAAGCACAACCUCUUUCUUUGUGUGUGUGUGUAUGUGUGUG
Molecule: long non-coding RNA, 1620 nt
Organism: Crotalus tigris (Tiger rattlesnake)
Lineage: Eukaryota; Metazoa; Chordata; Lepidosauria; Squamata; Viperidae
Exons: 3
Source: RefSeq, a predicted model, not a curated record